AUGGAGGCAGGGAGAGCAAGAGGUUGUUUUGGUGAGAUUAUUCUCACUCAGAGUCCCACCGUUCAGAUGGUGUCAGUAUGGGAGAGCGUCACUCUCAACUGUAGAUCCAGCAGUUCAGUUUCUACUUAUUUAGCCUGGUAUCAUCAAAAACCUGGACAAACACCCAAACUCCGUUUCUCUAGUGUUGGUAGCCGAGUGUCUGGAGUGUCUGAGAGAUUUACUGAUGGAAGAUCAAACACAAACUUCAUGCUGAAUAUCAGAAAUGUUCAGACUGAAGAUGCAGGAGAUUAUUACUGUCAACAGCAUUAUGAGUUUCCACUCACAUAG
Molecule: non-coding RNA, 327 nt
Organism: Triplophysa rosa
Lineage: Eukaryota; Metazoa; Chordata; Actinopteri; Cypriniformes; Nemacheilidae
Source: the annotation of a RefSeq genome assembly